AUUGAACGCUGGCGGCAGGCCUAACACAUGCAAGUCGAGCGGAUGAAGGGAGCUUGCUCCUGGAUUCAGCGGCGGACGGGUGAGUAAUGCCUAGGAAUCUGCCUGGUAGUGGGGGAUAACGUCCGGAGACGGGCGCUACUACCGCAUACGUCCUGCGGGUGAAAGUGGGGGAUCUUCGGACCUCACGCUAUCAGAUGAGCCUAGGUCGGAUUAGCUAGUUGGUGGGGUAAAGGCCUACCAAGGCGACGAUCCGUAACUGGCCUGAGAGACUGAUCAGUCACACUGGAACUGAGACACGGACCAGACUCCUACGAGAGGGAGCAGUGGGGAAUAUGGGACAAUGGGCGGAAGCCUGAUCCAGCCAUGCCGAGUGUGUGAAGAAGGUCUUCGGAUUGGAAAGCCCUUUAAGUUGGGAGGAAGGGCAGUAAGUUAAUACCUUGCUGUUUUGACGGUACCAACAGAAUAAGCACCGGCUAACUUCGUG
Molecule: ribosomal RNA, 484 nt
Filed under: uncultured bacterium
Lineage: Bacteria
Description: partial 16S ribosomal RNA
Rfam family: Bacterial small subunit ribosomal RNA
Source: RNAcentral